Molecule: ribosomal RNA, 505 nt
Filed under: Staurolemma weberi
Lineage: Eukaryota; Fungi; Ascomycota; Lecanoromycetes; Peltigerales; Collemataceae
Description: eukaryotic LSU rRNA
Rfam family: 5.8S ribosomal RNA (bases 177-330)
Source: RNAcentral
UCGAGAGUGGAGCUCAGCUCCGGGGGGGCGAACCGCCCUCAACUCUUCACCCAUUGCGGACAUCAUCCUUGUUGCUUUGGCGAGCUCCGGGGAGGGAAACUCCCCGGGCGCAUCGCCAAUGGCUAUUUCAACGCUGUCUGAUGCAGUCGGAACAAAGACAAAAUCGGUUUUUUAAAAACUUUCAACAACGGAUCUCUUGGCUCUGGCAUCGAUGAAGAACGCAGCGAAAUGCGAUAAGUAAUGUGAAUUGCAGAAUUCAGUGAAUCAUCGAAUCUUUGAACGCAUAUUGCGCCCCUUGGCAUUCCGAGGGGCAUACCUGUUCGAGCGUCAUUGGCUCCCCUCAAGCUUGGCUUGGUUAUGGGCGUGCGUCCUCCGGGACGCGCCCGAAACACAGUGGCGGUUCGACCUGGCUGCGAGACGUAGUAGUGAAUUGAUCCGCUCGCCAGCUUCCGGUCGCGCUCGCCAGGCAACCUAGAUCGUAAUCGUAUCGGUUGACCUCGGAUCA